GACGAACGCUGGCGGCGUGCUUAACACAUGCCAGUCGAACGGAAAGGCCCGGCUUUUGUGGCGUUCUCGAUUGGCGAACGGGUGAGUAACACGUGAGUAACCUGCCCUUGACUGUGUGGUAACUCCUGGAAACUGGGGCUAAUACCGGGUAUGAUCUCUUGCUGCAUGGUGGUGGAUGGAAAGUUUCGGCGGUUGGGGAUGGACUCGCUGCUUAUCGGCUUGUUUGGGGGGUAGGGGCUUACCAGGGCUUUGACGGGAAGCCGGCCUAAGAGGGUGACCGGGCACCUUGGGCCUGAGAUACGGAGCAGAAUCGUACGGGCGGCAGCAGGGGGGAAUAUUGCGCAAUGGGCGGAAGCGUGAUGUAGCGGCGCCGCGUGCGGGAUGACGGCCUUCGGGUGGUAAACCGAUUUCGACUGUGACGAAGCGUGAGUGACGGUACCGGGUAAAGAAGCACCGGCUAACUACGUG
RNAcentral lists this ribosomal RNA (468 nucleotides) under uncultured bacterium. RNAcentral describes it as "partial 16S ribosomal RNA". It matches the Rfam family "Bacterial small subunit ribosomal RNA", at positions 28 to 507 of the family's 1533-position model. The record is from RNAcentral.